RNAcentral lists this ribosomal RNA (462 nucleotides) under uncultured bacterium. RNAcentral's name for it is "bacterial SSU rRNA". It matches the Rfam family "Bacterial small subunit ribosomal RNA", at positions 329 to 792 of the family's 1533-position model. The record is from RNAcentral.
CGCCAGACUCCUACGGGAGGCAGCAGUGGGGAAUAUUGCACAAUGGGGGGAACCCUGAUGCAGCGACGCCGCGUGGGUGAAGGAGCACCUCGGUGCGUAAAGCCCUAUCGGCAGGGAAGAAAAGCGAACAGGUUCGCCUGGACGGUACCUGACUAAGAAGCCCCGGCUAACUACGUGCCAGCAGCCGCGGUAAUACGUAGGGGGCAAGCGUUAUCCGGAUUCACUGGGUGUAAAGGGCGCGUAGGUGGGCGCUUAAGUCAGGUGUGAAAACUCCGGGCUCAACCUGGAGACUGCACUUGAAACUGGGUGUCUUGAGGGCAGGAGAGGAAAGUGGAAUUCCUAGUGUAGCGGUGAAAUGCGUAGAUAUUAGGAGGAACACCAGUGGCGAAGGCGACUUUCUGGACUGUACCUGACGCUGAGGCGCGAAAGCGUGGGUAGCGAACGGGAUUAGAUACCCGUGUA